GGCUGGGUAGCUCAAUUGGUUAGAGCAUCAGCCUGUUAUGCCAAGGUUGCAGGUUCAAUCCCCAGUCAAGCCA
This 73-nucleotide transfer RNA is filed under the name Myotis brandtii (Brandt's bat). It matches the Rfam family "tRNA". From Rfam's summary of the family: Transfer RNA (tRNA) molecules are approximately 80 nucleotides in length. The record is from Rfam by way of RNAcentral. Lineage: Eukaryota; Metazoa; Chordata; Mammalia; Chiroptera; Vespertilionidae.